AUGGGGAAUAUUGGACAAUGGGCGAAAGCCUGAUCCAGCCAUGCCGCGUGUGUGAAGAAGGUCUUCGGAUUGUAAAGCACUUUAAGUUGGGAGGAAGGGCAGUAAGUUAAUACCUUGCUGUUUUGACGUUACCGACAGAAUAAGCACCGGCUAACUUCGUGCCAGCAGCCGCGGUAAUACGAAGGGUGCAAGCGUUAAUCGGAAUUACUGGGCGUAAAGCGCGCGUAGGUGGUUUUGUAAGUUGGAGGUGAAAUCCCCGGGCUCAACCUGGGAACUGCCUCCAAAACUGCAUGACUAGAGUACGGUAGAGGGUAGUGGAAUUUCCUGUGUAGCGGUGAAAUGCGUAGAUAUAGGAAGGAACACCAGUGGCGAAGGCGACUACCUGGACUGAUACUGACACUGAGGUGCGAAAGCGUGGGGAGCAAACAGGAUUAGAUACCCGUGUAGUCC
RNAcentral lists this ribosomal RNA (450 nucleotides) under uncultured bacterium. RNAcentral describes it as "partial 16S ribosomal RNA". It matches the Rfam family "Bacterial small subunit ribosomal RNA", at positions 354 to 796 of the family's 1533-position model. The record is from RNAcentral.